Molecule: RNA transcript, 2842 nt
Organism: Leptopilina boulardi
Lineage: Eukaryota; Metazoa; Arthropoda; Insecta; Hymenoptera; Figitidae
Exons: 3
Source: RefSeq, a predicted model, not a curated record
GAAAACUUUAUUUAUCAAUUAUAAAAAAGUAUAUAUUAAAGAAUUGUUGGAUAAUUAAAAUAAAAGAAUGAAACUUUUAUUACUUUUUUUUACUCUCACUGUAGCUGAAGAAUUAGUGAAAAUUGAAGAAACUUUUGGUGAAUUCUCAGAUAUAAUUCUAAAUAGCAGGGGAAGAUGGUAUAUUAUUUAUAACACACAACUUUGUACAUCUAUAGACAAAGGUGUAACUCGUGAAGAUAUUGAUUUACCAUCAAAACAAUCAGUUCGUACAGGUUUGGGUAUUGAUGAAUCAGACAAUAUUUAUGUUCAAGAUUGGAAUUUAAUUCUAUUUCGAGUGAUACGUUCAGAAAGUGGUGAUUUUCUUUUUGAAGAAAUAUCAUUACCACAUGUUAAUGAAAGAUUAGUGAGUAGGCCAUUUUCAUUGGAGAAUAAUAUUUAUUUUGCUUCUAAAAGUGGUUUAAUGAAAUUAAAAAAUAAAUAUGAAAAAUCUGCUGAUGAAUUACAUGUAGCACCUUAUGGAAAUUUAAAAAUUACACAUGCAUUACGUUUAAAUUAUACAACAUCAUUUAAUUAUAAAAUUGAGGCAAUUAUUUAUAGUGGUGGUGCCAAUAGACAAUGGAUAUAUCGUUUAUAUUAUUCACACGAGAAACCCAUUUGGCAAACAGAAUCAUCAGUGAAACGAAUGAAUGUCGUGAAUAAUAAUAUUUAUUAUGUUGUUAAUGAUAUAAAUCAAAUUAAUGUUAUAGAAGAUAGUGAUGAAUUAAUGAUUCCUAUAAAGAUAGAAGGAAUUGAAGCUUCGAAUAUUAAUUUUGAAAAUGAUUUUAUUAUUUAUUCACCCUAUUAUAAUAAAACAUACGUGUAUAUGAAUGUCAAUGAUAAGGGAACUAUUUAUAGAUUAGGGGAUAACAAUUCAGAUGGUAAUAUUGUAGUAGAUUUAGUGUCCAACUUGAAUGAUAAAGUGACCUUUAAUUGUGCUGUUUUUUAUAAUGAUACCAUUUAUUUUGGAACAUCAAAUGGUGUUUAUAAAUUAAUGAAUAGUAAGCAUAAGGAAAGAAAAACUGAAAGCUUUAUUAAUCGAUUAGGGUAAAAAAAUUAUUAUUAUUAUUAUUAUUAUUAUUAUUAUUAUUAUUAUUAUUAUUCUUUUACUACAUAAAAUACAAACUUCUGAUACUUUGGAUAGUUGCAAAAUGAAUCUGUUUAAUGAAGAAUGCAAAGAAUUUAUUAUUAAAAGGCUAUCGUUUGGGGUCAUGGUUUUUCCUAGAUAUAUUAAAGAUUCAAUGUUAUAACUUUAGAUUAAAGAACGAUUUUCUCAUGCCAAUAUAAUAUUGUUUGAAAUAAAUUCAAAAAAUAGUGAUUAUAAAUUUUAUAAAAGUUUUUGACGUGAAAUAAAUGUGAAAAAUAUACGGAAAUUACAUUCGAGUGACGUGUUUCAAUUUUCUUUUUUUUUUUUUGUUACGAAUAAAUAUGCGCACGAUAUAGCGAAAAUGAUUUAAUAUUUUCAAUUGUAAGUUAUUAUAAAUAAAAACAUAUAUAUGUUAGAGAAAUAUUGGUAAUUCAAAAAUUGCUUAUGGAUUAGAUGCACUUUCAUAAAUAAUGGAGAAAAAAAAAUAUUCAUUUUAACUGGACAUCAAUUUCAAAUAAAGUUAUUCAACUAGAAUUUUUUAAAAAGAAAUUUAAAAAAAAUUAUUCCACACAAUAUGAAUAUAAGUAUUAUAAUUUUUUUAUCCCUAUUUGGUUUAAUAGUAACUGAAAAAUUGGAAAAAAUUCAAGGAACAGCAGGUGAAUUUUCUGAUAUUAUUGCUGACAAUAAUAAAAGAUGGUAUAUUAUUAGAGAUCGAAAAUUAUAUUAUUCAUUAGACAAGGGAAAAACUUUAAAUAAAAUUCAACUACCAUCGGAAGAAUUAGUUCAUAAGGGAAUGGGAAUUGAUCAAUUUGACAAUAUUUAUAUUCAAGAUGAUAAAUUAUCUGUAUUUAUUGUUGCUCCGUCGAUACAUGAAACUUUUGUAAUUGAAAAAUUAGAAUUAGAACAUAAAAAUGAACGACUUAUUAGUAGACCAUUUGCACUUGGUGAUAAUCUCGUUUAUCUUGCAACAAAAAAUGGUCCAAUGGAAUUAGAAAAUAGUGCUUUACGUGCUAAAAAAAUGGAAAUUCCACCUCGCGUAAAGAAGGAAAUUUCACAAUUCAUUCGUUUCAAUAUUACCGAAAGAUAUGGUGAUUCUUUUGAAGAAAUAUUUUACACUGUUAAUGGUGAUAAGAGACAUUGGAUUUAUGUUAUAUCAUCGGGAACAGCAGUGCCACUUUGUCAAACAAAAGGCCAUGUUAAACGUCUAAAUGUAAUAGGAAAUCGUGUUUAUUUUACUGUAAAUUAUGACAAUAGUGUAAAUAUUAUAGAAUACAGAGAAAAACCAAAAUUCAUUCCAGAAUAUCACAAAGAAAUUACUUAUCCCUCAAAAUUGGAAGGAAUAGAAAAUAUUUACAUUGAUGAUAAUAGUGAUUUUGUUAUUUUUUCACGUGUUAAUAAUUAUAAGACAUUUAUUUAUGGUAAUGUUGAUAAUAAUAAUUCGGGAAUUGUCUAUGGAUUAGAUACAUUUUUGAAAGAUGGAAAAAAUUUAACAGAAAUUGUUAGUUCAAAUAAACUCGACAACAUUCGUAUAUUGUGUGGUGUUAUUGAAAAUGAUAAAUUAUAUUUUGGAACAUCAGAUGGGAUUUACGAAUUAAAAGACAUUUAACAAAUGCGCCUGUUAACAAUAUGUGCUUCUUAUAAUUAAAAAGAAAAAAAAGGAAAUAAAAAAUCAGGGAAAAUAUGUAUGUAUGAUUUGAAAUAAAGAAAAUGAUUUAUAAA